AUAAAAAAAGGUUGAAUCUAUAUAUUUUUCAUAAAAAUAAUCAUAAUUUAUAAAAUAUUGUAAAAAUUUGGUGCACGGAAAAUCAGCGUUUGUUUACGUUCUCUCCGCCGCCAUUUUGGAUUUUGGGAGAAGGCCAGCUGUGAAGUUUCUACACUAAAAAUCGGAAAAAAGCGUAAAAAUGUCGUCAGAUGAGUCUGAUAUUGACCUGAAUGACUCAAUGGAUGAAGAAUCUGAUGUCUGGGUACCAGAAUCGGACGAUGAGGGUCCCGAGGACGGAAACCAAGCCCCGACUUUGACCAAUCGUGAUCAAAACAACAGGUUAGUGUUUUGUUUACAUCCUGCCUAUGCACAAGAAAGCCUAUAAAAUGUAUUCUAGUGGGUUUAGGCCACUGGUAUUGUUACUUCAAGCUUACAGAAUAGUUAUUUGUGGUAACCUGAAGUUGUGAAAGCAUGGUUUGCCUCUAAAAAAAUUUAAUUAACUUUUUUUAUGUGCCUAGCUACGGUUGUCAUGUUAUUGUUUACACAGCAAUUCCUCAAACAGGAAGUUUGUUUUUGUUUACACCUCACCCGUGUGCAGUAGCCCUAUUCCCUGCUAAGAUUUUAUCAUUGUGAUAAUAUGAUGAUAAUGACAGAACAGCUUUGUUCAAGGUCUGCCUCUGUCUAGAUCUAGAUCUAGAUCUAGAAAUAAGUGCCUAUGACAUAGGCCUUAUCAACAUGUCAACUUCGACUCCGCCGAUAGCGUCCUAAUCCUUUGCUUAUUUUCUUCCCUCAGGAACUAGCCGCAACCUCCACGUAACCAGUCUUACGCGGACCAGGAUGAUGGCCCACCAGAACCACUGCCUCAGUUUAGGCCUGCUGUGCUGUUGGCCUGCAUCUCCCUGACUGUAUCACCCGACAGGACAUCCGAAGUUUUCUGACGCCAGUAUCCUUCUUCAAACUGUUUUUCUGCACUGAGAUGGAGAAUCAGAUCUGCCUCUUCUCUUAUGAGUACGCCCCGAUGACAGGACCCAACAAACCAUCUGUCUUUCGCUCCUGGGAGGAUCUUGACUCUGAGAUGUUCCUCAAGUUCGUUGGACUGCUAAUGUAUAUGUCUAUUGUUCGUCUCCCAAAUUUAGAGCUGUACUGGUCUACGAAAACCUGUUUUCAUGGACUAUGGGCAAGAGCAUACAUGAGCAAACUAAAUUUCAUACAAAUUCAGUCUUUUUUAAAAUUAUGCAAUCCAGACACUGAGCGAGAUACUGAUAAGCUACGGAAAGUUAGGUUUAUGCACUAUUUUUUGAGUAUGAAAUGUAUGAAGUAUUGGCAACCUAACCAGUGUGUUAGCAUAGAUGAGAGGAUGGUUCAAAAUAAGGGGAGAUACAGUUUCAGGCAAUACAUAAAGGAUAACUAAAUGGGGGAUGAAGUUACGGGUGGUUGCAGAUUCGAUGAAUGGGUACACAUACAAUUAUGAAGUUUACACAGG
Molecule: long non-coding RNA, 1462 nt
Filed under: Aplysia californica (California sea hare)
Lineage: Eukaryota; Metazoa; Mollusca; Gastropoda; Aplysiida; Aplysiidae
Description: uncharacterized LOC118478210
Source: RNAcentral